This 456-nucleotide ribosomal RNA is filed under the name uncultured bacterium. RNAcentral's name for it is "partial 16S ribosomal RNA". It matches the Rfam family "Bacterial small subunit ribosomal RNA", at positions 355 to 799 of the family's 1533-position model. The record is from RNAcentral.
UGGGGAAUUUUGGACAAUGGGCGCAAGCCUGAUCCAGCAAUGCCGCGUGCAGGAUGAAGGCCUUCGGGUUGUAAACUGCUUUUGUACGGAACGAAAAGCCUCUCUCUAAUACAGGGGGGUGAUGACGGUACCGUAAGAAUAAGCACCGGCUAACUACGUGCCAGCAGCCGCGGUAAUACGUAGGGUGCAAGCGUUAAUCGGAAUUACUGGGCGUAAAGCGUGCGCAGGCGGUUUUGUAAGACAGUGGUGAAAUCCCCGGGCUCAACCUGGGAACUGCCAUUGUGACUGCAAGGCUGGAGUGCGGCAGAGGGGGGAUGGAAUUCCGCGUGUAGCAGUGAAAUGCGUAGAUAUGCGGAGGAACACCGAUGGCGAAGGCAAUCCCCUGGGCCUGCACUAACGCUCAUGCACGAAAGCGUGGGGGAGCAAAACAGGAUUUAGAUACCCUGGUAGUCCACG